RNAcentral lists this small nuclear RNA (75 nucleotides) under Homo sapiens (human). RNAcentral's name for it is "partial ncRNA". Lineage: Eukaryota; Metazoa; Chordata; Mammalia; Primates; Hominidae. The record is from RNAcentral.
AGAUCACCUGAGCCCGGGAGCUGGAGGUUUCAGUGAGCUCAGAUGUGCCACUGCAUUCCAGCCUGGGCUACAGAG